Molecule: ribosomal RNA, 253 nt
Filed under: uncultured bacterium
Lineage: Bacteria
Description: partial 16S ribosomal RNA
Rfam family: Bacterial small subunit ribosomal RNA
Source: RNAcentral
UACGAAGGGGGCUAGCGUUGCUCGGAAUCACUGGGCGUAAAGGGUGCGUAGGCGGGUCUUUAAGUCAGGGGUGAAAUCCUGGAGCUCAACUCCAGAACUGCCUUUGAUACUGAGGAUCUUGAGUACGGGAGAGGUGAGUGGAACUGCGAGUGUAGAGGUGAAAUUCGUAGAUAUUCGCAAGAACACCAGUGGCGAAGGCGGCUCACUGGCCCGGUACUGACGCUCAGGUGCGAAAGCGUGGGGAGCAAACAGG